This 468-nucleotide ribosomal RNA is filed under the name uncultured bacterium. RNAcentral's name for it is "partial 16S ribosomal RNA". It matches the Rfam family "Bacterial small subunit ribosomal RNA", at positions 28 to 507 of the family's 1533-position model. The record is from RNAcentral.
GACGAACGCUGGCGGCGUGCUUAACACAUGCAAGUCGAACGGAAAGGCCCUGCUUUUGUGGGGUGCUCGAGUGGCGAACGGGUGAGUAACACGUGAGUAACCUGCCCUUGACUUUGGGAUAACUUCAGGAAACUGGGGCUAAUACCGGAUAGGAGCUCCUGCUGCAUGGUGGGGGUUGGAAAGUUUCGGCGGUUGGGGAUGGACUCGCGGCUUAUCAGCUUGUUGGUGGGGUAGUGGCUUACCAAGGCUUUGACGGGUAGCCGGCCUGAGAGGGUGACCGGCCACAUUGGGACUGAGAUACGGCCCAGACUCCUACGGGAGGCAGCAGUGGGGAAUAUCGCACAAUGGGCGGAAGCCUGAUGCAGAAACGCCGCGUGCGGGAUGACGGCCUUCGGGUUGUAAACCGCUUUCGCCUGUGACGAAGCGUGAGUGACGGUAAUGGGUAAAGAAGCACCGGCUAACUACGUG